Molecule: RNase P RNA, 349 nt
Filed under: Eubacterium sp.
Lineage: Bacteria; Bacillati; Bacillota; Clostridia; Eubacteriales; Eubacteriaceae
Description: RNase P RNA component class A
Rfam family: Bacterial RNase P class A
About the family: Ribonuclease P (RNase P) is a ubiquitous endoribonuclease, found in archaea, bacteria and eukarya as well as chloroplasts and mitochondria. Its best characterised activity is the generation of mature 5'-ends of tRNAs by cleaving the 5'-leader elements of precursor-tRNAs.
Source: RNAcentral
UGAGUAGAACAGAUAAUCGCGGCUGCAAAUGCCGAAAGGCUGCAGGUGAGGAAAGUCCGGGCUUCACAGGGCAGGAUGCCGGAUAACGUCCGGUAGAGGCGACUCUAAGGAAAGUGCAACAGAAAUAUACCGCCGCAUUUAUGCGGUAAGGUUGGAAUGGCAGUGUAAGAGACUACCGCCCGCCUGGCAACAGGCGGGGCAUCUGUAAACCCCAUCCGAAGCAAGACCGAACAAAAGCGUUGACGUGGCCCGCCAGCUUUAGGUAGGUCGCUAAAAAGCGGCUGGCGACAGCCCUUUUAGACAGAUGAUUAUCCAAUGACAUAACCCGGCUUACCGUUCUGCUCAAUUA